GAUCUCCUUUACACAUCUGUGUUGUGUCUGUGCACGAGCGUUUUCUUAUCCCAAGAUGCUCUAUGAGUCCCUUCCAGGUUACUCAAAAGUCAAGAAUCGGUAAGUAUGCAAACAUUACAGCUCUGCCGCUUUGCAGAUUUCUAGUGCUUAUCUAUUUUUUUCCUGAUAGAAAGGGUGGUUGGUGUUACCUGGACGAGAAGGGCAGUGCACUGAGCCUUAGAGAGGCUCAUGCAUGUCAGACCAGAGAGACGGAAGCUUGGACAGGCAGAGGGCACUGGGCUGAGAUGGGGCAGGAGUGCACCACAGCUGGACAGACCCGUGCAUGCAGGGGCAGAAUCCUUGCCUGCAGGGGUCUCCAUGUACGGUUAUUUGUCAUGAACUAGCAAACUCAGCGAUGUAACAGGGAUGGACAGG
RNAcentral lists this long non-coding RNA (414 nucleotides) under Marmota monax (woodchuck). The record is from RNAcentral. Lineage: Eukaryota; Metazoa; Chordata; Mammalia; Rodentia; Sciuridae.